Molecule: long non-coding RNA, 529 nt
Filed under: Trifolium pratense (red clover)
Lineage: Eukaryota; Viridiplantae; Streptophyta; Magnoliopsida; Fabales; Fabaceae
Description: long non-coding RNA (TPRA_LNC001981)
Source: RNAcentral
UGAUAAGUAACGCGUAGCCUGGUGGUUCUGAAGAGAGAUGUCCUUCUUUUGCUCUUGAUGGUCGCAAGUUCAACCCUCACCUAUGCCAGUCUUCAUUUUUGUUCUUUUUUCUUUUGAAAAUACAUAAUGUUCACUACCCAAGAUUCUAACCCACACACUUGAACACCAAAACAUUUUCUCAAGCCACUUAAUCAAUAAAACUAUUUCUUAAAAAGUUGAUUUUUUUUUCUAUUUUUUUCUUCAAAAAACAAGCCAAUUAUUUUCAAAUAAAAACAAUAAUUCUUUUUUAAGUACACAUGUAAUAUGAUAAAAUAUAUAGUUCUAUAAAAUUAAACUUGUGCAAGUAUUAAUUUAAAAUAAAUCAUUGAUAAUUUCAAGUCAUUUGGCACACGUAGAAUAUUAUUUACGGUAUGCAAUUUAAACUUUUUAUUACUUAAAUUUUUAUAUGAAAUCUAAUUUUUUGUUUAAUUUAUAUAUUAUUAAUUUUCUAGCGGCCCCCCCUAAUUUUAUUUCCUGGUUCCGCCACUGC